AUGAAAGUGAUAAAACAAGAGACUCUCUAUCAUGAAGAUUAUAGUGCUACUUUGAAGCACAAGUGUGGUAAAAGGAUAGUAACAUUGUCCCUUCUCUCUUUUUCUCUCAUUUUUUUGGGCCUUCUCUCUUUUUUUAUGGCCUUUCUCUUUUUUUUAUUCCUCACUUGGGACAAUGCUCUAGAAAAUGAUGAUCAUCACACUUCUAUUUAUUUACAACUCAAUGAUUACAACUCGAUACUAGAACAAAGUAUGACUCUAUAUGAAUGCCUCCGGCGGAGUACCGGGAUAUGCAAUGAACCAAGAGUGACAUGUAUGAAAGAAUUAUGA
RNAcentral lists this ribosomal RNA (327 nucleotides) under Triticum aestivum (bread wheat). RNAcentral describes it as "partial small subunit ribosomal RNA". The record is from RNAcentral. Lineage: Eukaryota; Viridiplantae; Streptophyta; Magnoliopsida; Poales; Poaceae.